RNAcentral lists this ribosomal RNA (2488 nucleotides) under metagenome. RNAcentral describes it as "bacterial LSU rRNA". It matches the Rfam family "Bacterial large subunit ribosomal RNA", at positions 1 to 2510 of the family's 2925-position model. The record is from RNAcentral.
GAAAGUAAAGAAGGGCGCAUGGCGGAUGCCUUGGCUCUCGGAGGCGAUGAAGGACGUGAUAAGCUGCGAUAAGCUUUGGGGAGGUGCAAAUGACCUUUGAUCCAGAGAUUUCCGAAUGGGACAACCCAAUAUCUUGAAGAGGUAUUAUCCAACGUUGUUGGAGGCUAACGCAGGGAACUGAAACAUCUUAGUACCUGCAGGAAAAGAAAAUAAACAAUGAUUCCCCCAGUAGUGGCGAGCGAACGGGGAACAGCCCAAACCAUCCAUGUUACGGCAUGGGUGGGGUUGUAGGACUACGCCGUUGCAUGAAGACAUCAGAGAAGAACUUUCUGGAAAGAAAGACCAUAGAGCAUGACAGUUGCGUAUUCGAAUGUUGUCGAAGCAUAGUAGUAUCCUGAGUAGCGCGGAGCACGAGGAAUUCUGCGUGAAUCUGCCGGGACCAUCCGGUAAGGCUAAAUACUCCCGAGAGACCGAUAGCGAACCAGUACCGUGAGGGAAAGGUGAAAAGCACUUCGAACAGAAGAGUGAAAUAGUUCCUGAAACCGUGCGCCUACAAGCGGUCGGAGCUCGUUAAUGAGUGACGGCGUGCCUUUUGCAUAAUGAACCUACGAGUUGCCUUUGCCGGCAAGGUUAAGUGUGACGACACACGUAUCCGAAGCGAAAGCGAGUCUGAACAGGGCGUAUAGUCGGCAGUGGCAGACGCGAAACCAAGUGAUCUACCCUUGGCCAGGUUGAAGGCUGGGUAACACCAGCUGGAGGACCGCACCAAUAAGCGUUGAAAAGCUUCUGGAUGAGCUGAGGGUAGGGGUGAAAGGCUAAUCAAACUUGGAGAUAGCUCGUACUCCCCGAAAUGCAUUUAGGUGCAGCCUUGCGGGUUACUGAUGUGAGGUAGAGCGACUGAUAAGAUGCGAGGGCUUCACCGCCUAUCAAGUCUUGACAAACUCCGAAUGCGCAUCAGUUCUACCGCAGGAGUGAGGGCAUGGGUGCUAAGGUCCGUGCCCGAGAGGAGAAGAAUCCGGACCACCUGCUAAGGUCCCGAAAUGACAGCUAAGUUAAACUAACGAAGUCUGACUGCUAAGACAGCUAGGAUGUUGGCUUGGAAGCAGCCAUUCAUUUAAAGAGUGCGUAACAGCUCACUAGUCGAGGAGUCGGGCGUGGAUAAUAAUCGGGUAUCAAGUUGUCUACCGAAGCAGUGGGAUCAUUAAUAUGAUCGGUAGGGGAGCAUUCCAGUCAGCGUCGAAGGCGUACCGUGAGGUAUUCUGGAGCGUCUGGAAAAGCAAAUGUAGGUAUAAGUAACGAUAAAGGGGGCGGGAAACCCCCUCGCCGAAAGACUAAGGUUUCCUGAUCAACGCUAAUCGGAUCAGGGUCAGUCGGGUCCUAAGGCUCAGCCGAACGGCGAUGCCGAUGGCAGAAACGGUUAAUAUUCCGUUACUACCUUCAGGAGUGACGUGGAGACGCAGUAGUGACAGUGCCGCCAUCUGACGGAAUAGAUGGUUGAAGGGUGUAGGAGUCGAUCAUGGCAGGCAAAUCCACCAUGAGAUCCGAACCUGACAGUAUGCCGCGUCCUUCGGGACAAGGCAAUAGUGCGCGUAAGCAUGCUGCCGAGAAAAUCCGCUAAACUUAAUCCUGCAGGUACCCGUACCGCAAACGGACACACGUAGUCGGGAUGAAUAUUCUAAGGCGCUUGAGUGAUUCACGGUUAAGGAACUAGGCAAACUGACCCUGUAACUUCGGGAUAAAGGGUCCCUACCCUUUUAUGGGAGGGCGCAGAGAAUCGGUCCAGGCAACUGUUUAACAAAAACACAGGGCUGUGCCAAAUCGAAAGAUCCAGUAUACAGCCUGACACCUGCCCGGUGCUGGAAGGUUAAGAGGAGAUGUCAUCGAUAAGAGAAGCGUUGAAUUGAAGCCCCAGUAAACGGCGGCCGUAACUAUAACGGUCCUAAGGUAGCGAAAUUCCUUGUCGGGUAAGUUCCGACCUGCACGAAUGGUGUAAUGAUCUGGACGCUGUCUCAACCGUGAGCUCAGUGAAAUUGUAGUAUCGGUGAAGAUGCCGAUUACCCGCGAUGGGACGAAAAGACCCCGUGAACCUUUACUAUAGCUUAUCAUUGAAUCUGGGCACGUGAUGUGUAGGAUAGGUCGGAGGCUUUGAAGCAGGUACGCCAGUAUUUGUGGAGCCGCUGUUGAAAUACGACCCUUUAUUUGUUUGGAUUCUAACCCGUGGAACGGGGACAUUGAUUGGUGGGUAGUUUGACUGGGGUGGUCGCCUCCAAAAGCGUAACGGAGGCUUCUAAAGGUGCCCUCCGGCCGAUUGGUAACCGGCCUUAGAGUGUAAUGGCAUAAGGGCGCUUGACUGGGAGACUAACAAGUCGAUCAGGUAGGAAACUAGAGCAUAGUGAUCCGGUGUUUCCGUAUGGAAGGGACAUCGCUCAAAGGAUAAAAGGUACUCCGGGGAUAACAGGCUGAUCCCUCCCAAGAGCUCAUAUCGACG